GUUAAAAUAGUCCUCCAGUAUCUAUGAUAUUCUUGUACCUAUAUCACUUAGCCUUUGAUAUAUAUUUUCAUCUACAAGACAAAAGUCCUCCAAUUGCCUAACAACCUACUUAUUUUGAAGUAUCCUUCAUGUCUAUAGCACAUGCAGAAGAUUUAGGGUUAGGGGUUUAUUCAUAAACAAUCAAGAUUACAAAGUCUCCAUAAAUAAGCAUUCCUCCCAAUGAAGGCCACAGAUUAUGUGUCAAAACACAUUCUUUUCCUGUAUAUUUUAUAUCAAGCAAAAGCAGAUGGUUGCUGGUGGGAGACAGUAGCUUAAGCUGAAAUCCUCUUAGACCUUAUGGAAAAACAGUAGCCGAAUGUCUUCAAAAUCACACGUGCUAAACCUGACCCCAGUGUGUGGAAGACAUUCGAAACUAUGCAAUAUCAUUUAUCAUGUAGUUAAUUCUCUCAUGUGGUUACCAUGACCAUGAUAAUGAAUCUCAUGCACAUUUUGUGGAGAAUUCCAUUCAGUGAACAGUGUGACAGUCUAUUGUUCAAGCACAUGACGCAGAGGUCCUCUUCUGACCUUCUGCUGUCUGUGUUUGUGUGUUAGCGCGCAGCAAUUCAGUGGAUUAGUAAGGGAAUUGGUCUGUGUGUGACCCUCAUCAGCACGAGCUUUUGAUUCGAGAACAGCUUGGACCGACUAGCUGAGCCAGGAAUAGUUCGGACUGCUUUUGGGAACCGCUUCAAGUGAUUCAUCGAGAAGAUUCACCUUAAAAGAACCAUUCUUUCACAUUGCGGGAAUUUCUACAGAUGCUGGAAACUCCCACUCCACACGGAGGGAUUUUAUGUGAUGUCAUGAAGGCAAAGAAGGCAAAACGCGCACAUCCACUGACACAGCUGUAAAAAAAUUCCCACGCAAGCAAGACCACCGUCCUCCUGACAAUCCUGGACAUCUGUAGUGAAACAUGUCUGGAAUCGGCUUUCUGAAGAUCUACUUCAUUGGAACCGCGUUUUCCUUUCUGGUGGCUCUUUUUGGACUGGUUGAUUCAGUCGGGGGUCUGAUGUAUCUUCAAGGACCCGACUGGGCAGACGACAGCUGGACGGAGAAGCACCCGACCGUGUCUCCAUCACAGACUGCUGCUGCCAGCAACAGCAAGCGCGACGGAUCGACAUGAUCUUCUGCACUGCCGUCGGGGGCGAGUCUUUACUGGGGCUAGGAGAAACAAUAGCCUCGGUGUAUUAUGGUUACUGACCUACUAAAGCCUACUGUGGAAUUCUCUCCUUUUCACUACUGAGAUCUGUGUUUUAUGUGAAAUAUGAGACAUGAACAUCAAUAAUGGCUAGUCGUUCCACAGCCAUGUGAGGUGCCAACUCUUCACACUCGUUACGUUUUUUGCUUUGUUGUUAUGGUUUCUGCAAAGAACUUGUCUGACUUUAUACGAUAAAGAGAAAAAAUUCUUCAGGAGAGAUUGAAAGUGUAAAAAUAGCCUACUACAAACAUGCUACAUGAAUUUGCUGGACUGCCUUAAAAGAUUGAAAUCCCUCUGUCAGUGGUCCAAUUGUUUUUGUAAUGUUUGUUCCUUUUUAUAUGCCGUUUAUAUGAAGAUAACAGUACAACUCAGUAUGUUAACAUUUGUGUAACAUGCUGUGUUUAUCAUGAGAAACUGUGGCAUUAGGCAACAAAACUUGCACUUUGUUUUUUUUUGUUUUUUUUAGUUUUUGUUUUUUUUACCUUUUAGGUAAAGGGUGUCUAAAAAAUAUCUGCUAGAUAUCUUUCAACUAGAUAAGUUAGGUUAUGUUACUGAAAUUCACUUAUGUAUUGAACUGAAUAAAAAUAUAUACAGUUGCACUGUA
This is a long non-coding RNA of Cyprinus carpio (common carp), 1835 nucleotides long. RefSeq lists it as uncharacterized. NCBI's taxonomy places the organism in Eukaryota, Metazoa, Chordata, Actinopteri, Cypriniformes, Cyprinidae. The record is from RefSeq and is a predicted model, not a curated record. The transcript is spliced from 3 exons.